ACCAUAGAACUGCUUCCAAAACUGAGUACCUAGAAUAUGGGAGAGGUAGAUGGAAUUUCUGGUGUAGGGGUAAAAUCCGUAGAGAUCAGAAGGAAUACCGAUUGCGAAGGCGAUCUACUGGAACAUUAUUGACGCUGAGACGCGAAAGCGUGGGGAGCAAACAGGAUUAGAUACCCUGGUAGUCCACGCCCUAAACGAUGUACAUUAGUUGUUGCUAUGCUAGACAUAGCAGUAAUGCAGUUAACACAUUAAAUGUACCGCCUGGGGAGUACGGUCGCAAGAUUAAAACUCAAAGGAAUAGACGGGGACCCGCACAAGCGGUGGAGCAUGUGGUUUAAUUCGACGAUACGCGAAGAACCUUACCUGGCCUUGACAUAGAAAGAAUUUAGCAGAGAUGUAAAAGUGCUAGUUUACUAGAGCUUUCAUACAGGUGCUGCACGGCUGUCGUCAGCUCGUGUCGUGAGAUGUUAGGUUAAGUCCUGCAACGAGCGCAACCCUCGUGUUUAGUUACUAACAGAUUAUGCUGAGGACUCUAGACAUACUGCCUGGGCAACCAGGAGGAAGGUGAGGACGACGUCAAGUCAUCAUGGCCCUUACGGCCAGGGCUACACACGUGCUACAAUGGGGUAUACAAAGAGCAGCGAUACCGCGAGGUGGAGCAAAUCUCAUAAAAUAUCUCCCAGUUCGGAUUACACUCUGCAACUCGAGUGUAUGAAGUUGGAAUCGCUA
RNAcentral lists this ribosomal RNA (729 nucleotides) under uncultured Campylobacterota bacterium. Its description in RNAcentral is "bacterial SSU rRNA". It matches the Rfam family "Bacterial small subunit ribosomal RNA", at positions 612 to 1337 of the family's 1533-position model. Lineage: Bacteria; Pseudomonadati; Campylobacterota. The record is from RNAcentral.